Arabidopsis lyrata subsp. lyrata is the source of this 1455-nucleotide long non-coding RNA. RefSeq lists it as uncharacterized. The transcript has 2 exons. The record is from RefSeq and is a predicted model, not a curated record. NCBI's taxonomy places the organism in Eukaryota, Viridiplantae, Streptophyta, Magnoliopsida, Brassicales, Brassicaceae.
CUUGCUUUUAUCUAUCUUUUUUUAUUGUCACGUCUUUAUCCAUCUAUGUAACGCUUAAUCAUCAAUUAUUAUAUUAAACUUCAAUAAAGGCUGGUGUACCAAAUUCAUGGUUUGUUUUAUCUGAUUAGUGUACCAAAUUCAAUUGGAACUAUAUCAGAUCCAUGAAAUUAUUGAUUAUUGAUACAUGCAGGUUAUGUGUGAUCCUUAUACACCAGCUGGUGUUCCAAUUCCAACCAACAAGAGGCACAACGCUGCUAAAAUUUUCAGACACCAAUCGUUGCCUCCGAGGAGCCUUGGUAUGCUCAUCUUCUUGUUUUUUGGCUAUACAUAUUAUUUUCGUUACUAUAAAUUCUAAUAGUGUUUGUUUUUUUAAACGAUUGUAUGUUUUGGAUGAAUGAAAGCAACCACGAUGCAUGAAGAAGAUUCAGGUGAUGUUUCAAUUGAUCUUUUAUCUUUAAUUUAUCGAUUUUCUAAUUUUACAAAAAUGUUCUCACCGAGUAGAAUAUACUUUUGAGUUUUGAGUUAAAUCUUUCACAGUCUGUUGUGGAUUAGCAACGUUUCAAGCCAUAUUAACUAUUGUGUUGUGGCAGUUCGAAAGAUUCAUAUAAAUUGGACUAUUGCUACAAAAAAAACAGAAUCACAGGUUUAAUUCUAUCAAAGGAGAUAAAGCCUCUUAUCUCUACUGUCUUUGAGGGUAAAGAUGCUAAUGUCAUCGCCCACGGACAAGAAAUUGCGGAAAAACAUAUCUCAUACAUGUAUUGAAAGCAAUCCCAUUAAGGUAUUGAUUAUCAGACAUGAUACUAUAGAUGAAAAAUGCUAAUUAUUGUAUCGCAUGGUUUGUAGGGAAAUGAUUAUGCUCUAACGCUCAAAGGAAACAGACACCUUUGACUGUGUCUGCUACUUCUAGAAAACAGACAGUGCUAAGGGGAAAUGUGACAGAGAGAAAAGACUAAAAUCAAAGCAAGGAAACUGUUCCGCGAAGCAAACGAUUCAGUGAAAUGUAAAAAUAGCAUGUUGGAAAAUUUAAUUAAUACGUCAUGAAGUGGAAUAAUUUAGAUUCUUCCUUUACAAAGAGGUAAAACAGAGGGUAUAGAAACAGAGACUAAGAGACCAAGAGUCUUAAUUAAGGAGGUUUGGUAUACCACUUAACCCUAAUCAAUCCACUACUUACUUGAUAAAGACAUAUUCUCAUCAUGUAUAUUUGAUUAGAUUAGCUAGGCUCGUAAUAUGGGACAAAACCCCGAAGAUGAGCAAGAAAUGCUUUGAAAGAUUUUAUCGUAGCAUGAGUGUCAUAUCUGCACCCUUCAGUGCUCCCUUGUAAAAUCAAAGUAUCUGAGUAUAGAUACUUAAUAGGUUUAAGUGUUCUUCGAUCUUGGACGAUAUGUUCCAACUUAUACUGAUACAGAGGUUAUACAGAUUUUUGGUUUUUCUAAUAAAAUAAAUUGUUUGCUGAAA